UACGUAGGGGGCAAGCGUUGUCCGGAAUCAUUGGGCGUAAAGCGCGUGUAGGCGGCUCGGUAAGCCUGCUCUGAAAGCCCGGGGCUCAACCCUGGGAGGCGGGUGGAUACUGCUGAGCUCGAGUCCGGAAGAGGCGAGUGGAAUUCCUGGUGUAGCGGUGAAAUGCGCAGAUAUCAGGAUGAACACCAAUGGCGAAGGCAGCUCGCUGGGACGGUACUGACGCUGAGACGCGAAAGCGUGGGGAGCAAACAGG
Molecule: ribosomal RNA, 253 nt
Filed under: uncultured bacterium
Lineage: Bacteria
Description: partial 16S ribosomal RNA
Rfam family: Bacterial small subunit ribosomal RNA
Source: RNAcentral